AAGAGUUGCAAAACUCCAAACCAUUGUGAACGUUACCUUUACCGUUGCUUCGGCGGGCGGCCCGGGUCCUGCCCGGCGCCCCUCGGCCCCUCGCGGGCGCCCGCCGGAGGUAAACCAAACUCUUGAAUUUCAUGGCCUCUCUGAGUCUUCUGUACUGAAUAAGUCA
Molecule: unclassified non-coding RNA, 166 nt
Filed under: uncultured Lycoperdon
Lineage: Eukaryota; Fungi; Basidiomycota; Agaricomycetes; Agaricales; Lycoperdaceae
Description: sequence contains ITS1
Source: RNAcentral